RNAcentral lists this ribosomal RNA (254 nucleotides) under uncultured bacterium. Its description in RNAcentral is "partial 16S ribosomal RNA". It matches the Rfam family "Bacterial small subunit ribosomal RNA", at positions 524 to 776 of the family's 1533-position model. The record is from RNAcentral.
UACAGAGGGGGCAAGCGUUGUCCGGAUUUACUGGGCGUACAGCGCGCGCAGGCGGAACUGGACGUGCCGUGUGACAGACCACCGCUCACCGGUGGAGGGCCACGGUACACGACAGUUCUGGAGGCAGGGAGAGGGAUGUGGAAUGCCCGGUGGAGCGGUGAAAUGCGUAGAGAUCGGGCGGAACACCAGCGGCGAAGGCGGCAUCCGUGGCCCUGACCUGACGCUGAGGCGCGAGAGCGUGGGGAGCAAACUGG